UUGUUGUUAAAUACCUAAGAAUAGGGGCUACAUUCAAGGUUAAUGGAAAAAGCUUGAAGCAUUACUGGGGUAUAGAGCGUGAUAGGCAAAGCAUUAGCCUUUGUGAUGUUUGAAUUUUUGUUUUCGUUAAUAAGUAGUUUUUUAUUUCCUAUUGUUAUUUUUAUUUUUAUUCUCUUUAUUUUUAAUACAUUUUUAAUUCUUUUUUUAUUAUGAAUAGGAGAAUAAUAAAAGAAGCAGGAUUUGUUAGUGCGCACUGAGCAAUAGUUUACUGCAGCAUUACAAAGAAACAUUAUGCCGUGACAAAUUGAAUGAUGAGGUGUUAAUAAAAGAG
RNAcentral lists this long non-coding RNA (331 nucleotides) under Gossypium raimondii (Peruvian cotton). Its description in RNAcentral is "long non-coding RNA (GRAI_LNC008522)". Lineage: Eukaryota; Viridiplantae; Streptophyta; Magnoliopsida; Malvales; Malvaceae. The record is from RNAcentral.